AUAUUUAUUUGGCAGGAAUACAAUGAUCUUGAAGCUGGUUUUUUUAGAGUGAGGUUUGUUCAUUGUAGUCUGCGUGUGCUGACUCCUGCGAUUUCCCCAAAUGUGAGGGGCUCGACUGCAUAAUUUGUAGUACAAGGGGACUGCGUUCGCGGUUUCUCCUG
Small nuclear RNA from Bubalus bubalis (water buffalo), 161 nucleotides. RefSeq annotates it as U1 spliceosomal RNA. The record is from RefSeq and is a predicted model, not a curated record. The transcript has a single exon. Lineage: Eukaryota; Metazoa; Chordata; Mammalia; Artiodactyla; Bovidae.